This 412-nucleotide ribosomal RNA is filed under the name uncultured bacterium. RNAcentral describes it as "bacterial SSU rRNA". It matches the Rfam family "Bacterial small subunit ribosomal RNA", at positions 362 to 772 of the family's 1533-position model. The record is from RNAcentral.
UAUUGGUCAAUGGGUGAGAGCCUGAACCAGCCAUGCCGCGUGCAGGAAGACGGCCUUCUGGGUUGUAAACUGCUUUUACCGGGGGAUAAAAUUCCCAUGCGUGGGACAUUGCAGGUACCCGGUGAAUAAGCCACGGCUAACUACGUGCCAGCAGCCGCGGUAAUACGUAGGUGGCAAGCGUUAUCCGGAUUCAUUGGGUUUAAAGGGAGCGUAGGUGGCCGUGUAAGUCAGUGGUGAAAUCUCUGGGCUUAACCCAGAAAUUGCCAUUGAUACUGCAGGGCUUGAGUAUAGAUGCCGUUGGCGGAAUAUGACAUGUAGUGGUGAAAUACAUAGAGAUGUCAUAGAACACCGAUUGCGAAGGCAGCUGACGAAACUAUAACUGACACUGAGGCUCGAAAGUGUGGGGAUCAAA